UGUGAAAUAGAAAAUGAUUACUUCUCAAUUUGAGAAUAUUUCUACAUAUGAGGCAAGAUAAAUUGGAAUGAGCAAUUGUUAGGCAUUCAGUAUAACUCAUGCACCUGCUUCUUUCUUUUAUCCUUUUCCUAAUCCAAGGUUGGGAUGCAACCAGGAGUACUUUCAUCAUACAAAACCAGACUCUAACAGACAGAAGGGGGGAGUUACGUCCUACCAACACAUUCACAUCUGAUCCUUCUUUCAAUAAUGGA
RNAcentral lists this unclassified non-coding RNA (251 nucleotides) under Hevea brasiliensis (rubber tree). The record is from RNAcentral. Lineage: Eukaryota; Viridiplantae; Streptophyta; Magnoliopsida; Malpighiales; Euphorbiaceae.